Molecule: long non-coding RNA, 290 nt
Filed under: Cricetulus griseus (Chinese hamster)
Lineage: Eukaryota; Metazoa; Chordata; Mammalia; Rodentia; Cricetidae
Description: lncRNA (ENSCGRG00015036211.1)
Source: RNAcentral
CUUUAUGCCAUCAUUAUUUUCAUGUCAUCGGAAAUGCACAUUGUCACGAUUUAGUCUCUAAGCCAUGUUGCCCAACUUACGUCUACACAGAAUUAAAUUGGCUGAAUCCUGCAUGGAAGACGGUCAAUGAAAAACCAGUGCGUAGACUGCCAUCUACUGGACAACCAGAAAACAAACUGCUGAGUCGCCCUAGGACCUUGAGCAACAAAGGCAAAAAGGCAAAAUUAUGAAUACAUCAGUGGAACAGACAGGAGCAUGUAGGCACAACAAUGGUCCAGUUUGAAAUGAUU